This 424-nucleotide ribosomal RNA is filed under the name uncultured bacterium. Its description in RNAcentral is "partial 16S ribosomal RNA". It matches the Rfam family "Bacterial small subunit ribosomal RNA", at positions 360 to 776 of the family's 1533-position model. The record is from RNAcentral.
AAUAUUUGACAAUGGGCGCAAGCCUUAUCCAGCCAUGCCGCGUGUGUGAAGAAGGCCUUCGGGUUGUAAAGCACUUUUGUACGGGAAGAAAAGCCCUUGGUUAAUACCCGGUGGUCCUGCCGUUACCGUCAGAAUAAGCACCGGCUAACUUCGUGCCAGCAGCCGCGGUAAUAAGAAGGGUUCAAGCGCUACUCGGAAUUACUGGGCGUAAAGCGUGGGUAGGUGGUUUGGUAAGUCUGAUGUGAAAGCCCUGGGCUCAAACUGGGAAUGGAAUUGGAUACUGGCAGUCUAGAGUGAGGUAGAGGGUAGCGGAAUUCCCGGUGUAGCAGUGAAAUGCGUAGAUAUCGGGAGGAACAUCCGUGGCGAGGGCGGCUACCUGGACCAGCACUGACACUGAGGCACGAAAGCGUGGGGAGCAAACAGG